UACCGUCGUGCCAAGAAAAGCCUCUAAGCAUAUCCAUAGUCGUCCGUACCGCAAACCGACACAGGUAGAUGAGAUGAGUAUUCUAAGGCGCGUGGAAGAACUCUGGUUAAGGAACUCUGCAAACUAGCACCGUAAGUUCGCGAUAAGGUGUGCCGCAGCAAUGCGGUCUCAGCAAAGAGUCCCUCCCGACUGUUUACCAAAAACACAGCACUUUGCCAACUCGUAAGAGGAAGUAUAAGGUGUGACGCCUGCCCGGUGCUCGAAGGUUAAGAGGAUGCGUCAGUCGCAAGAUGAAGCGUUGAAUUGAAGCCCGAGUAAACGGCGGCCGUAACUAUAACGGUCCUAAGGUAGCGAAAUUCCUUGUCGGUUAAAUACCGACCUGCAUGAAUGGCGUAACGAGAUGGGAGCUGUCUCAACCAGAGAUUCAGUGAAAUUGUAGUGGAGGUGAAAAUUCCUCCUACCCGCGGCAAGACGGAAAGACCCCGUGGACCUUUACUACAGCUUAGCACUGCUAAUGGGAAUAUCAUGCGCAGG
RNAcentral lists this ribosomal RNA (534 nucleotides) under Helicobacter acinonychis. RNAcentral describes it as "bacterial LSU rRNA". It matches the Rfam family "Bacterial large subunit ribosomal RNA", at positions 1598 to 2142 of the family's 2925-position model. Lineage: Bacteria; Pseudomonadati; Campylobacterota; Epsilonproteobacteria; Campylobacterales; Helicobacteraceae. The record is from RNAcentral.